This 1949-nucleotide long non-coding RNA is filed under the name Erythranthe guttata (spotted monkey flower). RNAcentral describes it as "long non-coding RNA (EGUT_LNC003289)". The record is from RNAcentral. Lineage: Eukaryota; Viridiplantae; Streptophyta; Magnoliopsida; Lamiales; Phrymaceae.
AAAUAUGUCGCCUAUCUCGAAUUGUCGCCGAAACCCUAGAAACUCCCCUCUCUCUCUCUCGAAUCGCCGGCCUCGCUGUAACUCCCCUCUCUCUCGGAUCGUCGUCGUAGCUGAAACUCCCCUCUCUCUCGAAUUGCCGCCGUAGCUGUAACUCCCUUCUCUCUCUCUCAUCGCCGCCGUAGCUGAAACUCCCCUCUCUCUCUCUCGAAUCGUCGCUGUAGCUGAAACUCCCCUCUCUCUCUCGAAUCGCCGCCGUAGCUGAAACUCUCAUAUCUCUCUCUCUCUCUCUCUCUCUCUCUCUCUCUCUCUCUCUCUCUCUCUCUCUCUCUCUCUCUCCCUCUCUCUCUCUCGAAUCGCCGUCGUUGCUAAAACUCCCCUCUCUCUCUCCCUCUCUCUCUCUCUCUCGAACCGCCGCCCUAGCUGAAACUCAUCUCUCGCUCGAACUACUGCGGUAGCUGGAAAAAUUGGUCAAUCGACGGAAGAAGACUUCUCUAAUUCUCCUGAUUCCAUUCUUACUGUAUGUCAAUUCUUCGACCCCUUUUUUCAAUUUUUAGUAUAAUUUUUGCUUUUAACAAUUGCCUCUCUUUAUUUAUUUAUUUAUUUUAGAUUGAAAGUAUGUAUUAAUAAUUUUCAUGUCUGUUUUGUGCUUCUGCUAUGCUGCCUUGGUUUUGAAUUGAUAAUUUAGAUUGCAUGCACUAGCAAAAAUUUCAAAGUGCAACAUUAUGAUUUUCGAUAAGUUAAUUAUACAUUACAAAAUAGUUAAGUUAAGUAUAUGAAGCCAGUGAAUAAGGUUUUAUAUAUAUAAUUGUAUCAUGCAGUUUUUAAAUAUGUGCAAAGCAUGUAAAAUUUGAAAAUCUCUCUUCAUAUUCUUCAGGUAAUAAUCAUUUUUUUUAACAUUCAUGGGGUCAGAAUGUAAAGAAAUAUAAGUAUAUGAGGUUGGUGCCUGUUUUAAAUUAAUAUCAUUUAAUUUGAUAUUUACCAUUAUAUAAGGUCCCGUUUUGUUUCUCGUAACAUGAGUUUUUAGCUAUGCUGGACUUGGACUGUGUUUAUGUGUGACGAUAACUAGGAUUUUUAAGAUGUAAAGUGUGUUAGAGUAGGUGACCGGCAAGCCAACUUGUGGCUGUGGUCUUUCUCUUUUCUUUGUAAUAAAACAAUCGUUUUUCGUUCGUAAUAAUAAAAUAUCUUAUUUGGCAUUCUAUAUCUGUUAUCCCAUGCAAGCAUCAUAGAUAUAGUCCUAACGAGUUACUCUAUUACUGUGAGUUGAUCUAGUAGAAUCGUGAGAUAACUCAGCAAUGUAAUGUAACUGUUAAACCUUGUUCCUAGUCGAUGGGUUACGCCAAUAAUGAGGAUACCGGCCUUUCCCUUUUGAGACUAGCACUUAGUGUAUGUGUACUGCGUCUCAUCAGUCCUCGGUGUUGUGACAUCGGCAUACUUGAGUGGGUGCUCAUACUGGAUGAGUUCACUGAACUCCCUCGCCCUAGAAAUCUAUAAGUGGUUCUCAUUCAUCGAGUAAUAGGUUUCUAAGAUAUAGUUGUACACCAUUAGUCCUUAAGACCCAGACAUCACCGUGACUUCACUAGAGGACCGAUUGUAUCGUGACCUGUCCCUGAGUCCCACGGCGGACCGCUCCAAGGGCCAACGUUCGUGCAAUCCGAAAUCUAGUGUGAAGUCUGUGCAUUGUAGUAGGGGAUUCGAGCGCUUGAGUAGUCAUGGAUGUCCUGUGUGUUCUGACGGUUUAUAAUCCAUGGAAUCUCUGGCCAGAGUUGAUAGUGGGGUGAUUAGGGAAAUGUGUUUCCCUAAGUCGCACACGAACGGAUUUAUAAUACCUAGAACGUUCGCACGGUUAUUGAACUUUAUAAGAGGUCUCGGUGAACCAAUGCCUCUAGUUCAAUCGGGACAUGUGCUACGAAGGGAUCGUACUGUACGCUAACUAUAUCAUAAGGUUCUUG